This 370-nucleotide unclassified non-coding RNA is filed under the name Hevea brasiliensis (rubber tree). The record is from RNAcentral. Lineage: Eukaryota; Viridiplantae; Streptophyta; Magnoliopsida; Malpighiales; Euphorbiaceae.
GAAGAUACAAAAUGAUGUAAUCUACAUAGAAAAAAAAAACAAUUAUUAUUUAGAAAACUAACAAAAAAAUGAUCACAAACGCUUCCUGGUUUGUAAAGUACCAGAAGAAUGCAGUAUAGUCAUAAGAGUAUAUAUUUCAUCUACAACUACUCUUUAUCUUAUGAACACCAAAUUAGAUGACAUCCCUUUAAAGACAGAAAAUAUGCUCUGCAGUAAGAAAUCAUAAGUUGUGAAUGCUUGUCUUUAAAAUCCUUUGCUGUUAAGAAACAAACAUAUAAAUAAAUUUCAACAGUAGGCCACUGCACUUGAUGCCUCAAAUAUCUGCCAGCAUGAAACAAAAUGACAGUAAACAGUUUUGGUUCUUGCAUAC